Mesoplodon densirostris (Blainville's beaked whale) is the source of this 657-nucleotide long non-coding RNA. RefSeq lists it as uncharacterized. Lineage: Eukaryota; Metazoa; Chordata; Mammalia; Artiodactyla; Ziphiidae. The record is from RefSeq and is a predicted model, not a curated record. The transcript is spliced from 3 exons.
AACCAGAAGAGGUCAGAGGGUGAGAGUAGUAACCACUGAAGUGUAAGGCUGGGGAGGACAGGCCAGAUCAAGGCUGGAACCCAGACCCUGGGCUCUGGGGCAGGCGCUGAGCACAGAAGCGUCGAGAGGUCAUAGGCUGCAGACGGGACGGUGGAAGCUCUCUGGAGAAGCCCAAGGAAUCCAACCAUCCCAGGCUGGGAAAUGAAAACUCGGGCCUGUGUUCGCGGAGCCUGGACCCAAAACUGCCCAAAACUAUGCAGGGCUCAUGCUGACAGGGUGGCGGCUAAAUAUAGGAAACCCAACUAUCUGGAGAAUGCAGCUUCUGCAUUUGGGAGGAUAACGGGACAUGGGUUCGAGCCCUGGUCCGGGAAGAUCCCACAUGCUGCGGAGCAACUAAGCCCGUGCACCACAACUACUGAACCUGUGCUCUAGGGCCUGCGAGCCACAACUACUGAGCCCGCGUGUUGUAACUACUGAAGCCCGGGUGCCUAGAGCCUGUGCUCCGCAACAAGAGAAGCCACUGCAAUGAGAAGCCCACGCACCGCAACGAAGAGUAGCCCCCGUUCACGGCAACUAGAGAAAGCCCGCGCGCAGCAACGAAGACCCAAUGCAGCCAAAAAUAAAUAAAUAAAUAAAAUUAUUCUUAAAAAAAAGAAA